This 590-nucleotide ribosomal RNA is filed under the name uncultured marine eukaryote. Its description in RNAcentral is "bacterial SSU rRNA". It matches the Rfam family "Eukaryotic small subunit ribosomal RNA", at positions 1 to 598 of the family's 1831-position model. The record is from RNAcentral.
AACCUGGUUGAUCCUGCCAGUAGUCAUAUGCUUGUCUCAAAGAUUAAGCCAUGCAUGUCUCAGUAUAAGCUUGAUUACUGCGUAACUGCGAAUGGCUCAUUAAAACAGUUAUAGUUUCCUUGAUGACCACUUCUUACUUGGAUAGCUACGGCAAUUCUAGAGCUAAUACAUGCUUAAAGACCCAACUUUAUGGACGGGUUAUGCUUUUCAGGUACCGUUCCAACCCCCUUCGGGGGCCCCUAAGGUGAUUCAUGAUAGUCCAGUGAAUCGUCUAAUGCAGACGCUGAAUCCUUCAAAUUUCUGACCUAUCAGCUUCCGACGGUAGGGUUUUUGUCUACCGUGGCUUUGACGGGUAACGGGGAAUUAGGGUUCGACUCCGGAGAGGGAGCCUGAGAAACAGCUACCACAUCUAAGGAAGGCAGCAGGCGCGUAAAUUACCCAUUUCUGACACAGGGAGGUAGUGACAAGAAAUACCAAUAUAAGACUUAUUCGUUUUGUAAUUGGAAUGAGUACAACUUACAACGCAAUACAAGUAUCAAGUGGAGGGCAAGUCUGGUGCCAGCAGCCGCGGUAAUUCCAGCUCCAAUAGC